This 426-nucleotide ribosomal RNA is filed under the name uncultured bacterium. RNAcentral describes it as "bacterial SSU rRNA". It matches the Rfam family "Bacterial small subunit ribosomal RNA", at positions 354 to 796 of the family's 1533-position model. The record is from RNAcentral.
GUGAGGAAUAUUGCACAAUGGGGGCAACCCUGAUGCAGCAACGCCGCGUGGGUGAUGAAGGCCUUCGGGUCGUAAAACCCUUUUCUGGGGGAAGAGUAAGGACGGUACCCCAGGAAUAAGUCCCGGCUAACUACGUGCCAGCAGCCGCGGUAAAACGUAGGGGGCGAGCGUUAUCCGGAAUUACUGGGCGUAAAGCGCGUGCAGGCGGUUUGAUAGGUUGGACGUGAAAGCUCCUGGCUUAACUGGGAGAGGCCGUUCAAAACCAUCAGACUUGAGGGCGGAAUAGGGGAGUGGAAUUCCCGGUGUAGUGGUGGAAUGCGUAGAUAUCGGGAGGAACACCUGUGGCGAAAGCGGCUCCCUGGUCCGCUCCUGACGCUCAGACGCGAAAGCGUGGGGAGCGAACGGGAUUAGAAACCCCUGUAGUCC